AGAGUUUGAUCCUGGCUCAGGACGAACGCUGGCGGCGUGCCUAGUACAUGCAAGUCGAGCGAGCUUGCCUAGAUGAUUUUAGUGCUUGCACUAAAUGAAACUAGAUACAAGCUAGCGACGGACGGGUGAGUAACACGUGGGUAACCUGCCCAAGAGACUGGGAUAACACCUGGAAACAGAUGCUAAUACCGGAUAACAACACUAGACGCAUGUCUAGAGUUUAAAAGAUGGUUCUGCUAUCACUCUUGGAUGGACCUGCGGUGCAUUAGCUAGUUGGUAAGGUAACGGCUUACCAAGGCAAUGAUGCAUAGCCGAGUUGAGAGACUGAUCGGCCACAUUGGGACUGAGACACGGCCCAAACUCCUACGGGAGGCAGCAGUAGGGAAUCUUCCACAAUGGACGCAAGUCUGAUGGAGCAACGCCGCGUGAGUGAAGAAGGGUUUCGGCUCGUAAAGCUCUGUUGGUAGUGAAGAAAGAUAGAGGUAGUAACUGGCCUUUAUUUGACGGUAAUUACCUAGAAAGUCACGGCUAACUACGUGCCAGCAGCCGCGGU
Molecule: ribosomal RNA, 553 nt
Filed under: uncultured bacterium
Lineage: Bacteria
Description: bacterial SSU rRNA
Rfam family: Bacterial small subunit ribosomal RNA
Source: RNAcentral